This 683-nucleotide ribosomal RNA is filed under the name uncultured bacterium. RNAcentral describes it as "bacterial SSU rRNA". It matches the Rfam family "Bacterial small subunit ribosomal RNA", at positions 66 to 763 of the family's 1533-position model. The record is from RNAcentral.
ACGGGAUGUUUUCCUUCGGGGAAGCAUCUAGUGGCGGACGGGUGAGUAACACGUGGGUAACCUGCCUUAUGCAAACGGAUAACAAUGAGAAAUCAUUGCUAAAACGUUAUAAGCCGACGAAGCCGCAUGGUUUUGCCGGAAAAUAUUUAUAGGCAUAAGAGGGGCCCGCGGCUGAUUAGCUAGUUGGUAAGGUAAUGGCUUACCAAGGCGACGAUCAGUAGCCGGACUGAGAGGUUGAACGGCCACAUUGGGACUGAGACACGGCCCAAACUCCUACGGGAGGCAGCAGUGGGGAAUAUUGCACAAUGGAGGAAACUCUGAUGCAGCAACGCCGCGUGAAGGAAGACGGUCUUCGGAUUGUAAACUUCUAUCGAUAGGGAAGAAAAAAAUGACGGUACCGAAAUAAGAAGCACCGGCUAACUACGUGCCAGCAGCCGCGGUAAUACGUAGGGUGCAAGCGUUAUCCGGAAUUACUGGGUGUAAAGGGUGUGUAGGCGGCAAGACAAGUCAUAUGUGGAAUCCCAACGCUUAACGUUGGAAUUGCAUAAGAAACUGUCUAGCUAGAGUGCAGGAGAGGUAAGCGGAAUUCCUAGUGUAGCGGUGAAAUGCGUAGAUAUUAGGAAGAACACCAGUGGCGAAGGCGGCUUACUGGACUGAAACUGACGCUGAGACACGAAAGCGUG